Molecule: transfer RNA, 86 nt
Filed under: Phycisphaeraceae bacterium
Lineage: Bacteria; Pseudomonadati; Planctomycetota; Phycisphaerae; Phycisphaerales; Phycisphaeraceae
Description: tRNA-Leu
Rfam family: tRNA
About the family: Transfer RNA (tRNA) molecules are approximately 80 nucleotides in length. Their secondary structure includes four short double-helical elements and three loops (D, anti-codon, and T loops).
Source: RNAcentral
GGGCCUGUGGCGGAAUCGGCAGACGCAGCGGACUUAAAAUCCGCUUCCCGGCAACGGGAGUGAGGGUUCGAGUCCCUCCGGGCCCA